UUAAGCGACUAAGCGUACACGGUGGAUGCCCUGGCAGUCAGAGGCGAUGAAGGGCGUGCUAAUCUGCGAUAAGCGCCGGUAAGGUGAUAUGAACCGUUAUAACCGGCGAUACCCGAAUGGGGAAACCCAGUGUGACUCGUCACACUAUCAUUAACUGAAUCCAUAGGUUAAUGAGGCGAACCGGGGGAACUGAAACAUCUAAGUACCCCGAGGAAAAGAAAUCAACCGAGAUUCCCCCAGUAGCGGCGAGCGAACGGGGAGGAGCCCAGAGCCUGAAUCAGCAUGUGUGUUAGUGGAAGCGUCUGGAAAGGCGCGCGAUACAGGGUGACAGCCCCGUACACAAAAGCGCAUGUGCUGUGAGCUCGAUGAGUAGGGCGGGACACGUGGUAUCCUGUCUGAAUAUGGGGGGACCAUCCUCCAAGGCUAAAUACUCCUGACUGACCGAUAGUGAACCAGUACCGUGAGGGAAAGGCGAAAAGAACCCCGGCGAGGGGAGUGAAAAAAGAACCUGAAACCGUGUACGUACAAGCAGUGGGAGCACAGGUUUACCUGUGUGACUGCGUACCUUUUGUAUAAUGGGUCAGCGACUUAUAUUCUGUAGCAAGGUUAACCGUAUAGGGGAGCCGGAGGGAAACCGAGUCUUAACCGGGCGUUAAGUUGCAGGGUAUAGACCCGAAACCCGGUGAUCUAGCCAUGGGCAGGUUGAAGGUUGGGUAACACUAACUGGAGGACCGAACCGACUAAUGUUGAAAAAUUAGCGGAUGACCUGUGGCUGGGGGUGAAAGGCCAAUCAAACCGGGAGAUAGCUGGUUCUCCCCGAAAGCUAUUUAGGUAGCGCCUCGUGAACUCAUCUCCGGGGGUAGAGCACUGUUUCGGCUAGGGGGCCAUCCCGGCUUACCAACCCGAUGCAAACUGCGAAUACCGGAGAAUGUUAUCACGGGAGACACACGGCGGGUGCUAACGUCCGUCGUGAAGAGGGAAACAACCCAGACCGCCAGCUAAGGUCCCAAAGUCAUGGUUAAGUGGGAAACGAUGUGGGAAGGCCCAGACAGCCAGGAUGUUGGCUUAGAAGCAGCCAUCAUUUAAAGAAAGCGUAAUAGCUCACUGGUCGAGUCGGCCUGCGCGGAAGAUGUAACGGGGCUAAACCAUGCACCGAAGCUGCGGCAGCGACGCUGAUGCGUUGUUGGGUAGGGGAGCGUUCUGUAAGCCUGUGAAGGUGUGUCGUGAGGCAUGCUGGAGGUAUCAGAAGUGCGAAUGCUGACAUAAGUAACGAUAAAGCGGGUGAAAAGCCCGCUCGCCGGAAGACCAAGGGUUCCUGUCCAACGUUAAUCGGGGCAGGGUGAGUCGACCCCUAAGGCGAGGCCGAAAGGCGUAGUCGAUGGGAAACGGGUUAAUAUUCCCGUACUUGGUGUUACUGCGAAGGGGGGACGGAGAAGGCUAUGUUGGCCGGGCGACGGUUGUCCCGGUUUAAGCGUGUAGGUGUGUGUUCCAGGUAAAUCCGGUUCACUUUAACACUGAGGCGUGACGACGAGGCACUACGGUGCUGAAGCAACAAAUGCCCUGCUUCCAGGAAAAGCCUCUAAGCAUCAGGUAACAUCAAAUCGUACCCCAAACCGACACAGGUGGUCAGGUAGAGAAUACCAAGGCGCUUGAGAGAACUCGGGUGAAGGAACUAGGCAAAAUGGUGCCGUAACUUCGGGAGAAGGCACGCUGACACGUAGGUGAAGUGAUUUACUCAUGGAGCUGAAGUCAGUCGAAGAUACCAGCUGGCUGCAACUGUUUAUUAAAAACACAGCACUGUGCAAACACGAAAGUGGACGUAUACGGUGUGACGCCUGCCCGGUGCCGGAAGGUUAAUUGAUGGGGUCAGCGCAAGCGAAGCUCCUGAUCGAAGCCCCGGUAAACGGCGGCCGUAACUAUAACGGUCCUAAGGUAGCGAAAUUCCUUGUCGGGUAAGUUCCGACCUGCACGAAUGGCGUAAUGAUGGCCAGGCUGUCUCCACCCGAGACUCAGUGAAAUUGAACUCGCUGUGAAGAUGCAGUGUACCCGCGGCAAGACGGAAAGACCCCGUGAACCUUUACUAUAGCUUGACACUGAACAUUGAGCCUUGAUGUGUAGGAUAGGUGGGAGGCUUUGAAGUGUGGACGCCAGUCUGCAUGGAGCCGACCUUGAAAUACCACCCUUUAAUGUUUGAUGUUCUAACGUGGACCCGUAAUCCGGGUUGCGGACAGUGUCUGGUGGGUAGUUUGACUGGGGCGGUCUCCUCCUAAAGAGUAACGGAGGAGCACGAAGGUUGGCUAAUCCUGGUCGGACAUCAGGAGGUUAGUGCAAUGGCAUAAGCCAGCUUGACUGCGAGCGUGACGGCGCGAGCAGGUGCGAAAGCAGGUCAUAGUGAUCCGGUGGUUCUGAAUGGAAGGGCCAUCGCUCAACGGAUAAAAGGUACUCCGGGGAUAACAGGCUGAUACCGCCCAAGAGUUCAUAUCGACGGCGGUGUUUGGCACCUCGAUGUCGGCUCAUCACAUCCUGGGGCUGAAGUAGGUCCCAAGGGUAUGGCUGUUCGCCAUUUAAAGUGGUACGCGAGCUGGGUUUAGAACGUCGUGAGACAGUUCGGUCCCUAUCUGCCGUGGGCGCUGGAGAACUGAGGGGGGCUGCUCCUAGUACGAGAGGACCGGAGUGGACGCAUCACUGGUGUUCGGGUUGUCAUGCCAAUGGCACUGCCCGGUAGCUAAAUGCGGAAGAGAUAAGUGCUGAAAGCAUCUAAGCACGAAACUUGCCCCGAGAUGAGUUCUCCCUGAGACUUAAAGUCUCCUGAAGGAACGUUGAAGACGACGACGUUGAUAGGCCGGGUGUGUAAGCGCAGCGAUGCGUUGAGCUAACCGGUACUAAUGAACCGUGAGGCUUAACCUU
RNAcentral lists this ribosomal RNA (2907 nucleotides) under Salmonella enterica subsp. enterica serovar Heidelberg. RNAcentral's name for it is "bacterial LSU rRNA". It matches the Rfam family "Bacterial large subunit ribosomal RNA". The record is from RNAcentral. Lineage: Bacteria; Pseudomonadati; Pseudomonadota; Gammaproteobacteria; Enterobacterales; Enterobacteriaceae.